This 769-nucleotide ribosomal RNA is filed under the name uncultured bacterium. RNAcentral's name for it is "bacterial SSU rRNA". It matches the Rfam family "Bacterial small subunit ribosomal RNA", at positions 8 to 749 of the family's 1533-position model. The record is from RNAcentral.
AGAGUUUGAUCAUGGCUCAGAAUGAACGCUGGCGGCGUGCUUAACACAUGCAAGUCGCACGAGAACUCUUUAGCUUGCUAAAGAUAGUAAAGUGGCGCACGGGUGAGUAACGCGUGGGUAAUCUUCCUUCAAAUUGGGGAUAACUCGCCGAAAGGCGGGCUAAUACCGAAUAACAUCUUUGGAACUUCGGUUUUGAAGAUCAAAGGUGGCCUCUAUUUAUAUGCUACUGUUUGAAGAUGAGCCCGCGUACCAUUAGCUUGUUGGUAGGGUAAUGGCCUACCAAGGCUGCGAUGGUUAGCUGGUCUGAGAGGAUGAUCAGCCACACUGGAACUGACACACGGUCCAGACUCCUACGGGAGGCAGCAGUGAGGAAUUUUGCGCAAUGGGGGAAACCCUGACGCAGCAACGCCGCGUGAGUGAUGAAGGCCUUCGGGUCGUAAAGCUCUGUCAAGUGGGAAGAAACUGAUGAAUGAUAAUACCUUUUAUCACUGACGGUACCACUGAAGGAGGCACCGGCUAACUCCGUGCCAGCAGCCGCGGUAAUACGGAGGGUGCAAGCGUUAUUCGGAAUCAUUGGGCGUAAAGGGCGCGUAGGCGGUUUUUUAAGUCAGAUGUGAAAGCCCGGGGCUUAACCCCGGAAGUGCAUUUGAAACUGAAAGACUUGAGUAUGGGAGAGGGAAGUGGAAUUCCUGGUGUAGAGGUGAAAUUCGUAGAUAUCAGGAGGAACACCGGUGGCGAAGGCGACUUCCUGGACCAAUACUGACGCUGA